AACGAACGCUGGCGGCAGGCUUAACACAUGCAAGUCGAGCGCCUUGGCAACAAGGAGCGGCAGACGGGUGAGUAACGCGUGGGAAUCUACCCAUCUCUACGGAAUAACUCAGGGAAACUUGUGCUAAUACCGUAUACGCCCUUAGGGGGAAAGAUCUAUCGGAGAUGGAUGAGCCCGCGUUGGAUUAGCUAGUUGGUGGGGUAAAGGCCUACCAAGGCGACGAUCCAUAGCUGGUCUGAGAGGAUGAUCAGCCACAUUGGGACUGAGACACGGCCCAAACUCCUACGGGAGGCAGCAGUGGGGAAUAUUGGACAAUGGGCGCAAGCCUGAUCCAGCCAUGCCGCGUGAGUGAUGAAGGCCCUAGGGUUGUAAAGCUCUUUCACCGGAGAAGAUAAUGACGGUAUCCGGAGAAGAAGCCCCGGCUAACUUCGUGCCAGCAGCCGCCGUAA
This 449-nucleotide ribosomal RNA is filed under the name uncultured bacterium. Its description in RNAcentral is "partial 16S ribosomal RNA". It matches the Rfam family "Bacterial small subunit ribosomal RNA", at positions 29 to 523 of the family's 1533-position model. The record is from RNAcentral.